AGUGAACGCUGGCGGUAGGCCUAACACAUGCAAGUCGAACGGCAGCACAGGAGAGCUUGCCCUCUGGGUGGCGAGUGGCGAACGGGUGAGGAAUACAUCGGAAUCUACUCUGUCGUGGGGGAUCACGUAGGGAAACUUACGCUAAUACCGCAUACGACCUACGGGUGAACGCAGGGGACCUUCGGGCCUUGCGCGGUUGAAUGCGCCGAUGUGGGAUUAGCUAGUUGGCGGGGUAAAGGCCCACCAAGGCGACGCUCCGUAGCUGGUCUGAGAGGAUGAUCAGCCACACUGGAACUGAGACACGGUCCAGACUCCUACGGGAGGCAGCAGUGGGGAAUAUUGGACAAUGGGCGCAAGCCUGAUCCAGCCAUACCGCGUGGGUGAAGAAGGCCUUCGGGUUGUAAAGCCCUUUUGUUGGGAAAGAAAUCCAGCUGGCUAAUACCCGGUUGGGAUGACGGUACCCAAAGAAUAAGCACCGGCUAACUUCGUGCCAGCCGCCGCCGUAA
Molecule: ribosomal RNA, 506 nt
Filed under: uncultured bacterium
Lineage: Bacteria
Description: partial 16S ribosomal RNA
Rfam family: Bacterial small subunit ribosomal RNA
Source: RNAcentral